CUUUCAAUUUUAUCUGUGUUGUUAC
Molecule: non-coding RNA, 25 nt
Organism: Dictyocaulus viviparus (bovine lungworm)
Lineage: Eukaryota; Metazoa; Nematoda; Chromadorea; Rhabditida; Metastrongylidae
Source: Rfam